GUCACUUGUAGGCCUUUGGGCUAAGAUCAAGUGUAGUAUCUGUUCUUAUCAGUUUAAAACAUAGUAAUUUGACUAUAUAUGUCUUUAGUAGGAUCUACCCCAAGGACAAAAAAC
This 114-nucleotide small nuclear RNA is filed under the name Microcebus murinus (gray mouse lemur). Its description in RNAcentral is "U2 spliceosomal RNA (ENSMICG00000024874.3)". It matches the Rfam family "U2 spliceosomal RNA". Rfam says of the family: U2 is a small nuclear RNA (snRNA) component of the spliceosome (involved in pre-mRNA splicing). The record is from RNAcentral. Lineage: Eukaryota; Metazoa; Chordata; Mammalia; Primates; Cheirogaleidae.